Long non-coding RNA from Fundulus heteroclitus (mummichog), 174 nucleotides. RefSeq lists it as uncharacterized. The record is from RefSeq and is a predicted model, not a curated record. Lineage: Eukaryota; Metazoa; Chordata; Actinopteri; Cyprinodontiformes; Fundulidae. The transcript has 3 exons.
CCCAGGAGGAACCGGAGGAACAAGUCCAGGUGUCCAUUUGGACUCUGUUGACACCAAAGGUGAUGAAGGUCCGAUGAACAUGAAGAGCAGCCAGAAACUCCUGAAGACUCAGAUGGACGAAGCAGAACACCUUGUCCUGAUGUACUGAAGGUUCCUCAUCAGUGAUGCAGAAAA